Molecule: ribosomal RNA, 254 nt
Filed under: uncultured bacterium
Lineage: Bacteria
Description: partial 16S ribosomal RNA
Rfam family: Bacterial small subunit ribosomal RNA
Source: RNAcentral
UACGUAGGGUGCGAGCGUUGUCCGGAAUUAUUGGGCGUAAAGAGCUCGUAGGCGGUCUGUCGCGUCGGUCGUGAAAACUUGGGGCUUAACCCUGAGCUUGCGGUCGAUACGGGCAUGACUGGAGUUCGGCAGGGGAGACUGGAAUUCCUGGUGUAGCGGUGAAAUGCGCAGAUAUCGGGAGGAACAUCAGUGGCGAAGGCGGCCUUCUGGUCCAGUACUGACACUCAAGUGCGAAAGCGUGGGGAGCAAACAGG